This is a long non-coding RNA of Neodiprion virginianus, 736 nucleotides long. RefSeq lists it as uncharacterized. The record is from RefSeq and is a predicted model, not a curated record. The transcript has 5 exons. Lineage: Eukaryota; Metazoa; Arthropoda; Insecta; Hymenoptera; Diprionidae.
UUCCUCAGUCUAGAAACAACCGCGCAGUAGAGCGGACGGAUGAGAGUCGCGCUCCGCAAAUUUCGAGUACCGGGUUCUCAACCUCCCGGAUCCUGCGCUUCGGAUCCGCUACGUGGUGAAACUCGAGUUCCAGGACAAGUGCUCCGUAGUUUCUGCGCUCCGGGUCCACUACCUAGUGAAACUGGACUUCCAGAACAGGCACUCCGUAGUUUCUGCUCUCAAGGACAAGCGCUCCAUGGUUUCUGAGCUCAAGGUCGCUGGUGAAACUUGACUUCCAGGACAAGCGCACCGUGGUUCCUGCGCUCAAGGUCGCUACCUGGGAAUACUCGACUUCCAGGACAAGCGCUCUCUAGUUUCUGCGCUCCAGGUCCACUACCAGUGGGAACUUGACUUCCAGGACACGCGCUCCGUGGUUCCUGUUUCAUGUUUACGGUGGUCGAAGGUGGUAGGGGUGGUUGCGGGUGAUCGAGGUUGACGAGGAGGGGGACAAGGAGGAGGAGGAUAAGGAAGACUUGGAAACCAAGGUGGACGACGAGGAUGAGGAUUUAUGCACGAUCCGCUACCUGGUGAAACUCAACUGCAGAGACAAGCGCUCCGCGGUUCUUGCGCUCAAUGUCCACUACCUGGAGAAGCUUGACUUCCGGGACAAGCGCUCCGGGGUUCCUGUUUCAUGUUUACGGUAUAACCCGAGGUAGUUAUCGGUAGGUGUUGGAGGUGGUUGGCGGUGGUCAGAGGU